RNAcentral lists this unclassified non-coding RNA (705 nucleotides) under Zea mays. RNAcentral describes it as "misc RNA Zm00001eb340980". Lineage: Eukaryota; Viridiplantae; Streptophyta; Magnoliopsida; Poales; Poaceae. The record is from RNAcentral.
CCUUCUUUGCGCAUUGAAGAGAUACCGGUUCCCAAGGAGCCCCAGGAAGACGGAGAGACUACCGUGACAGUUAUGGGGGGACAGAUCUCCUCGGGGAAGAUAAACAGUCCCCGAAUUGAUUGCGACAGGACUGCUGGAACGUCGUCUGGGUUAAUUGGGCCGCCUGAGAUGGCCUGGAAUGACUCGGUCUCGCCGCUUCGGACAACUGGGCCGCUUGAGACAUGGCUCCCAAGGCCUGUCUCGCCCCAGCCUUGCCCGACGCUAGAGAUGAGGCUUCCAGCGCUGGUCUCGCCCCACUGCCUACCUGGGCUCCUGAACACGACGAUGACUGGGGAUGUCUCGCCCCACAUUCGAGAUGGGAAGCUUGAGAUCGUGUCUUCUGGGCAUGUCUCGCCCCGACCUCGAGUUGGGCCGCCAGAGAUGACCCCAGACGAUGUUUUGUCGUUUGAAGAUACUGGGACAUUGAAGAUGGCCUUGCCUGCGCCUGUCUCACCUCAGCAUCCGCCUGGGUCGCUUGAGACAGCUGCUUCCUUGCAGACAGAGCCAACUAGUAAGCUGAAGGUCUAUUACCGCAAAGGAUCGAAAGCACGUCAACGUCAAUUUCACGACGGCCAACAAGAUGGAACAGGAAGGGAGUUACUGGCAUUGGAGAAUGGGCUUACAACUGAUCCAAGACCUGAUACCCUCACAGCCCUGGGUGCUCCG